Oreochromis aureus is the source of this 476-nucleotide long non-coding RNA. RefSeq lists it as uncharacterized. Lineage: Eukaryota; Metazoa; Chordata; Actinopteri; Cichliformes; Cichlidae. The transcript is spliced from 5 exons. The record is from RefSeq and is a predicted model, not a curated record.
CUUUAACUGGUGUCUGGACCCCCAGGAAGCAUUUGCCCAAACACUCUGGAGAGGACACAGGAAAGGAAGAUAACUACCACAUUUCUUGAUGAGGAGCAGCUGUGGAGGACCUGGAACAAAGGAUGGACAGCAAGUGGAGACUGAGAUGAGGAGAUGGAAGGAGGAAGAGAGGCAAAGAACUUUUUAAUGUCAACAGUCUCAGAUCAACACAGCCCUGCCCUCCAGCACUAUCACCAGCAGGGGCACCCUUAACCGCUCAACAGCAACAUUGUACCCGAUCAGGAAGGGAGCAGAUAAAAGGUCGGACAUGAGUGGAUGUGAACUCAUGAGGAGACUCGAAAGGAGACAACAGGACUGCCACGUCGAUUCCGGAAGAAGAUAGUCAUAAUAAUAAUGUUAUUGUUGUGGUUUAAAACUGUACAGCCCGACUCAGGGUCAUCCUCUUUGUGAAGUCAGAUGACUGCUUUCACAGAGAG